Molecule: transfer RNA, 74 nt
Filed under: Planctomycetota bacterium
Lineage: Bacteria; Pseudomonadati; Planctomycetota
Description: Planctomycetes bacterium tRNA-Arg
Rfam family: tRNA
About the family: Transfer RNA (tRNA) molecules are approximately 80 nucleotides in length.
Source: RNAcentral
ACCUCGGUAGCUCAGUUGGACAGAGCACCCGCCUUCUAAGCGGGCGGUCGGCGGUUCGAAUCCGCCCCGAGGUG